UUCUCAGUAUAUCAAAUGAACAAAACUAAAGAUUCAAAGAGAAGGGAUCUUCUUCUUUUCCCUCACUGUACAGCAAUAUCAUUACAGAGUUGACAAAAGAAUUCAUUUUUACCAAGUUCUGAAUAAAUGUGUGGAUUUCUGGUAAGUUCUCAUAAAAAAUAUAUUUUUCUCUGAACCACAUUUUCUUGUUCAUAGUAGGCGUGUGCAAUUCGGCUGAAGGGUGAUCCAUUUUUGGUAUCCAGAUCCAUUUUUUGGGAGCCUCCUGAAAAUUGGCUAAUGAAAAACUCUGUUUUCAACUAGGCAGUUGAAAGAUCUGGGAAGAUCUGGC
This 328-nucleotide long non-coding RNA is filed under the name Anolis carolinensis (green anole). RNAcentral's name for it is "lncRNA (ENSACAG00000032775.2)". The record is from RNAcentral. Lineage: Eukaryota; Metazoa; Chordata; Lepidosauria; Squamata; Anolidae.